Molecule: ribosomal RNA, 1001 nt
Filed under: Pseudoalteromonas luteoviolacea
Lineage: Bacteria; Pseudomonadati; Pseudomonadota; Gammaproteobacteria; Alteromonadales; Pseudoalteromonadaceae
Description: bacterial LSU rRNA
Rfam family: Bacterial large subunit ribosomal RNA
Source: RNAcentral
CAGUGAAUACAUAGCUGUAAGAGGCAAACCGGGAGAACUGAAACAUCUAAGUACCCCGAGGAAAAGAAAUCAACCGAGAUUCCGAAAGUAGCGGCGAGCGAAAUCGGAUUAGCCCUUAAGCUUCAGUGUAAUUAGUGGAACCUUCUGGAAAGUUGGACGACACAGGGUGACAGUCCCGUACACGAAAAUUUAUCUGAAGUGAAAUCGAGUAGGUCGGAGCACGUGAAACUUUGACUGAAUAUGGGGGGACCAUCCUCCAAGGCUAAAUACUCCCAACUGACCGAUAGUGAACCAGUACCGUGAGGGAAAGGCGAAAAGAACCCCUGUGAGGGGAGUGAAAUAGAACCUGAAACCGUGUACGUACAAGCAGUAGGAGCCCUUCGAGGGUGACUGCGUACCUUUUGUAUAAUGGGUCAGCGACUUAUAUUCUGUAGCGAGGUUAACCAUUUAGGGGAGCCGUAGCGAAAGCGAGUCUUAACUGGGCGCUUAAGUUGCAGGGUAUAGACCCGAAACCCGGUGAUCUAGCCAUGGGCAGGUUGAAGGUCAGGUAACACUGACUGGAGGACCGAACCCACUAACGUUGAAAAGUUAGGGGAUGACCUGUGGCUAGGAGUGAAAGGCUAAUCAAACCGGGAGAUAGCUGGUUCUCCCCGAAAUCUAUUUAGGUAGAGCCUCGGACGAAUACUUACGGGGGUAGAGCACUGUUAAGGCUAGGGGGUCAUCCCGACUUACCAACCCUUUGCAAACUCCGAAUACCGUAAAGUACUAUCCGGGAGACACACGGUGGGUGCUAACGUCCAUCGUGGAGAGGGAAACAACCCAGACCGUCAGCUAAGGUCCCAAAGUGUAUGUUAAGUGGGAAACGAUGUGGGAAGGCUAAAACAGCUAGGAGGUUGGCUUAGAAGCAGCCAUCCUUUAAAGAAAGCGUAAUAGCUCACUAGUCGAGUCGGCCUGCGCGGAAGAUGUAACGGGGCUAAACAUACCACCGAAGCUACGGCUGC